CAUCACAACCCUGAACAGCAGCUACAUGCUCUUGGAAGAGAAAUAAGAAGAUGUGUCAGAAUGCGUGGUGGUGGUGGUGUUAGGGGAAGACAUAAUAGAGGAAGAAGGCAAAGAAUAAAAGUCCCUGAUGAAAUCAGAGCCACAUUGUGGACCAUGUCAUAAACCACGGUCUUAUGGAAGAGGCUGGACGGAGAGUACAGCCUAAUGUAAACAGGUCCAAAGAGUCAUCCAUUGUGCAAACAUUCCAUAGGGAAAACAGACUGCACAAUGGCCUCAUGCUGGUGGCAGAGCAGCAGUGUUCAGCAAGAACAAGACAUUUGCAACAUGGUCAUAGCCAGCAAUUCCAUCAGGCUAAGAGAGAUCCAAAGUGCAAUCAUAAAUGACAACAAUAUAUUUGUAAAUAUCAAUUCUGUCAGCAUUUCCAUUAUAGACAGAGUUUUGGAGAAUAAAAAAAAUCAAAUGACUAUGAAACAACUCUUCAAGUUGCCAUUUGAGAGGAAUAGUGAAGGAGCUGCGGUACCAGUAUUGUCAGGUUCUGCUUUCCUUUUGUUAGUCAACCUUGUGUUCUUUUUCUUUGUGUUCCAGAACGUACCCCUGUCUUUCAUUUUUGUUCAUUGAUUUCACCUGUGUUCAUUUCUCACCUGGUCUCAUCAGCUCCCUAUUCAGUUCAGUUCUUCCUGUUUGUAUGGUUGAGGUAUUGUUUGUUUUUUGACUAUCUACCCGUGUUUGACCAUUGCCUGCAUGUGACCACGAUUCCUGCCUUCUGCAACGACUUAAUAAACAUCUGCCGCGCUCUGCGUGUGAAUCUACACCUUUUUCGCCCUGAGUAUUCAUUACAAGUAUGUCCAGGUAAACCAUUGGUGUGCACAGGGUAAAUUGUUCAGGGAGGUUUACUGUACUUUAAUGAUGCCUGUAGAUACUUCUUGAAGUUGUAGGUACUCAUAAGAACAGAAAACAUUUAUACUUUACUAAACUGUCUGAUUCUAGAAUAGUUUUACAUAGCAUAAGUUUAUAUUUUAUUUUUGUGUUACUAUGUAGAGAAUAAUGGAGCUGCUUUUGUGGCAGAGGUUGGGUUCAAUCUGGCUAAAGGCACCGAGCUAGAAUUGGCACACCAGGCCAACGUGGGGGCAGUAUUACGUGUGCUGCCAUUUCUGAGAAUGAAAACACAUUGUGCUCUAUAACACCCAACUUCUCCUGGCCUUCCUAAACACACUUUACAGAGACCUAAUGCCAGAACACCAAAGAGUUAGACUGUAUUUGGCAAAUUCUGUAAUUGUGUGGGAUAAUGUCAGCUUCCACCGACCCAACAGUGUUUGGGAAUGGUUUGCUGCGCAUGAAAUAAUAACAAUGGAGUUCCUUCCACCAUCCUCCACCAUGUGAUGUUGACGAUUCUCUGGCCAGACCAACAAGAGCGACAGGAUGUCCACCAAGAAGGUGGGAACUUGUAGUGCUAAGGUGUAUCAAAACACGUGUACUGUACCUCCUGUAUGAUCUUCUGCAGCUCACGGUUCUCUCUCUCCAGCUGGCGAGACUUCUCCUCGUCGUUGUUGUUGGUGGACGAGCCGGUCUUCAGCGUGUCCUGCU
Molecule: long non-coding RNA, 1584 nt
Organism: Oncorhynchus keta (chum salmon)
Lineage: Eukaryota; Metazoa; Chordata; Actinopteri; Salmoniformes; Salmonidae
Exons: 4
Source: RefSeq, a predicted model, not a curated record